GACGAACGCUGGCGGCGUGCUUAACACAUGCAAGUCGAACGGAAAGGCCCUUCGGGGUACUCGAGUGGCGAACGGGUGAGUAACACGUGGGUGAUCUGCCCUGCACUUUGGGAUAAGCCUGGGAAACUAGGUCUAAUACCGGAUAGGACCACGGCAUUCAUGUGCUGUGGUGGAAAGCUUUUGCGGUGUGGGAUGGGCCCGCGGCCUAUCAGCUUGUUGGUGGGGUAAUGGCCUACCAAGGCGACGACGGGUAGCCGGCCUGAGAGGGUGACCGGCCACACUGGGACUGAGAUACGGCCCAGACUCCUACGGGAGGCAGCAGUGGGGAAUAUUGCACAAUGGGCGCAAGCCUGAUGCAGCGACGCCGCGUGAGGGAUGACGGCCUUCGGGUUGUAAACCUCUUUCGCCAGGGACGAAGCGCAAGUGACGGUACCUGGAGAAGAAGGACCGGCCAACUACGUG
RNAcentral lists this ribosomal RNA (462 nucleotides) under uncultured bacterium. RNAcentral describes it as "partial 16S ribosomal RNA". It matches the Rfam family "Bacterial small subunit ribosomal RNA", at positions 28 to 507 of the family's 1533-position model. The record is from RNAcentral.